This 1371-nucleotide long non-coding RNA is filed under the name Macaca mulatta (Rhesus monkey). RNAcentral describes it as "lncRNA (ENSMMUG00000058072.1)". Lineage: Eukaryota; Metazoa; Chordata; Mammalia; Primates; Cercopithecidae. The record is from RNAcentral.
CAUCUAGAAAAUAUUUUCACAGUGACAUCUAGAGUGGUGUGUAACCAAAUAUCCGGGCACUGUGGCCUAGCCGAAUUGUCGUGUACAAUUAGCCAUCACGAUGCCUGUUUGUUAUUCUACACUGUACUUCUGUCCACAGCAGCAGGGCCGUGUGCAAGGUGCCCACCAGCUGACUGCCGUCCCUGGAGCACGCCCUCACGGAUGAGAGUAGCCGGUGGUCACUUUGGAGAGCAGUGGUCCUGCCAGAGAGAACAGGACCACAGGCGGGACGUUUCACCGAGGACAGAGCCGGGCAGUGUCUGGAGCCUGAGGGGCGUGGUGGCCGGGCGUCAGUGAGUUCUGGAAACAGGAAGGCCGAUGCCAGCGUGCCACUGAGAAGGUCAUCUAAGUCCAGCUCAAGGUCAUCAAAACCCACGGUUGCUGCAGUCAUAGAAGAGGACCCCAAGCAGUGGAUUAGUUCUGCCUUCUUCCGCCAAGCGAGGAAUACUGGCAGUGAAAUCCAGUUGAACCAGCUACAGUGGAGAGUCUUGCUUGCUGACCUUACUGGCCUCUGGGUGAGGGUGGGACUCACCACCACGGACGACCUACAUUUCACCAACUUUGCCCCCUGCCAUCUCAGGCUAGGACACUGGCCUCUGAGGGCUCCUUGCCAAGUGUGCUUGGACUCAGGGACUCCCACACAGCGGGAAAUUGGCUCCUUUGUGUGACUGGCUCAGGACAGACGGCUGCUUCCAUGGUAUCCGCCAGACAUAUGGGACCAUCCUCCACCUCGGAGCCCUCCACAGCCCCCAGGUUCCAGCUGUGGUGACUGGCAGGAGGCUGCUGCAGACCCUGGGCUGCCCAGGUGGCCCCAGAUCUCAAAGCUUCUCUGGACGGACUGCAUGGCGCUCCCUCUGGGCCACAGAGCGUGCCCCCUGCCUCCCAGGCCAAGCCAACGCUCCCUUUGUCUGCCAGGAAGCGAGUUCUUCAGCUCUUGCCAGAGAGCCUCUGGCAGACCAGAGACCCCUGCUCACCUCUCCAGGCACCUGGGCAGAAAGCCCUUCUUCGUUCUCUUUCAGCCUAAACAAAUCAACCUGCCGAGGCCAAGCCUAUAUGAAACACAUGGAGGUCGCACAGUUCAUCCGCUGUGCCCAAAUGUGGGUAGACUCGGGUUUGGGACCUGCUAAGAGCCUCCCUUUGGAGAGGUAGCUGGUGGUGUCAGGACUCCCUCCCGAGCACUGACUGGCUUUGUUAUCUGGGGCCAGUGACGGCGUCUCUCUGUUCCUUUUGUUUCCUGUCCACCAGACGUAAAUAAUGGCAACCCAACCUCAUAGGGUAGUUGUAGACUGAAAUGUGUUAAUUGUGCAAAGAUUAAAUGUGUUUAUCCAUGCA